Long non-coding RNA from Equus caballus (horse), 2013 nucleotides. The record is from Ensembl. Lineage: Eukaryota; Metazoa; Chordata; Mammalia; Perissodactyla; Equidae.
UUAGUGGAAAAAAAAAUCUUCAAAGCCAAAGAAAAUAAGUCCAUAAAACUAAAACUGGUUUGGUGAAAAAUGUAGAGGAAUGCCACUGAACUUUAAUAAUUUCUGAGUUAAAAAAUCAUUUACAAUGUUUAAGAACAUAUGUAAAUUAAUAGAACCAAAUUCCUAAUUGGAAUCCAAGAAAUAUUUCAGUAAAAACUUGAUAGUUCUACAUUUUUCUCUGAAGUAUGCAUUUCAGUUUUGCAUUUAUAGUAAUUAGUCUCUCUCUCUGAGAAGAAAGCUUUCCACACAGUUGUAACAGGCCUUUAAAGAUCUAGGUAAUAGGAAAGAAAUUCUUUCUACGAAUUCCUCUCCAUACUGUACUGCCUGCCACCGACACCUAGAAGGCCCUCCAGGCUGUCAAGAACUGCCAAAUGAUAAAAGAGAAAAUGAUGAAAAGAAAUGGAACCUUGGAGCUGACCGCCUAAAAGCCAAAAUUUCUCCUGGGAUUUCUGGAUACAAAAGAAAGCUUUUGGUACUUCCCAAAGAACACUGGAUCACAUUAACCUAUUCAAAUAUGAGGUCAGAUCUCAGUGUUUAGGUUUAAAGCUGUCCCAUAUGUGCCUUGAUAGGGAAAAAAGAUGACAAAUCACACCUUCGAAUAAAUUCAUUUUAAUCCCAUUCUUCCUUUUGAUGUAAUAAAAAUAGUCUUGUCAUGUAGCUACAAUUGCAUUUAAUGGUUGCCAUUUACAGAAAUGGAAAAAAGAUAUCUGAGUAUAAUGCCUUCAAAUAUGGCUAAUAGCAUUUUUACAUAUGAGAAAAAUACUUUUAUUUUACAUGAAUAAGACCAUUGCUUCAUCAUGAUGAUUAUUGAAAAUUCAGCAGCUUCUCUUAUUAUAGGGUAAUGAUAAGAACAGCUCCAUCUCUUCUCUGUCAUUUAUGUUAAAAAAUGGUGACAUCCGCAUCAGCACCAAAUGAGUUCAUCAUGAUUAAACUUAUUACCAUUUCUAAUUAACCUUGAGUGCCCCUGGAUGUUAACUGCACACAAGAUUGAGCUACUGGAGCAGAUUCUAGUGUGUAGCAAGAAGCGAAAGAAGGCAAUCACAAAUGACUCCUGAUUCUGGAAGCGCCUUUUCCUAGCUAUGAAAAUGUGCUACUCAGAAUGCUCACAGCAGGGAACAUAAGUGACUGACAGCCCCAGCUGCUGUCCCACUGGAUCCACCGCUAAGUUUGCUCCAAAACCCAGCGGAUGACCGAACAUGACAGUGGUACUAGAGCAGGAUCCUUCCAGCAGAGUGUGGGAUUCUUUUGAAGGGCACCUUCUACCUGAGAACUCCCCAAGGUUUUAGCCAAAACUUUUAUGGAACUGCAGUUUCCUCACUGUUACUGCUGAAGGAUGUCUUGCAAACGUGAUGAGAACCACCGGCUGGUCUACCCACAACGUUGGUUAUUGAUAGGCUGAGACUGGCAUGAAACAUACUGGAAACCCCUUACAGUUCUUUUCUACGAAUGCUGUAGCAGAAUAAACCAGACUCAAACAUAAUCCUUUGCAGAGAUUUAUGUAGCGCUUUAAACUCACCACUACAUUUAGAUUACAUGAAGCUUGGAUAAAGGAUACAAUGGCUAACACAAACAGAUUGCAAAAUGUGGGAUUAUAUAACAUGAGACAUUAUAUAUGUCUCGACUAAGAAGAUAAAACUGAAACAACCACACAUUUUGCUAAUUUGAUCCAGAGUCCAAUGACAAAAUCACAAGCACUCAUUCUUCCGUAGUAAUCACAGCCUGAUUUUGCUUUGAGAAAAAAGAAAUUUCUUUUGCUAGCUACAAAAAUCCACACAGUCCCUUCUUUAAUAAGAGUGCUUGUGUGGAUAAUGGACAUGCAAACCUAAUCAGUCCAAAGAUUUGUGCUGAAAUGAUCAAGAAAAUGGAGUUCACUUUCUUCAGAGUAUUUAGUUAGUGAGAUACAAACCUGGAACCUCCAGAAUCCCUUUUGCCAAAUCUAAGGUGAAAGUCCAUCUGUGAAUAAAUAUGACAGAG